GAUGAACGCUAGCGAUAGGCUUAACACAUGCAAGUCGAGGGGCAGCAUGGUCUUAGCUUGCUAAUACUGAUGGCGACCGGCGCACGGGUGCGUAACGCGUAGGCAACUUCCCUCACAGAGGGGGAUACCCCGUCGAAAUACUGACUAAUACCGCUUACACUCCCUCUUGGGCAUCCAAGGUAGAGGAAAUUUAAUUCGCUGUUAGAUAGGCAUGCGUUCCAUUAGCUAGUUGGUGAGGUACCGGCUCACCAAGGCGACGAUGGGUAGGGGAACUGAGAGGUUGCCCCACCAGAAUGGUACUGAGGCACGGACCACAAUCGUACGGGAGGCAGCAGUAAGGUAUAUUAGUGGAUGAAAGCGAGCCUGAACAAGCCAAGUCGCGUGAAGGAUGCCUGUCUUAUGGAUUGUAAUCUUCUUUUAUACGAGAAUAACAGGAGUAAACUGUGCCUCUCUGCAUGUACCCUAUGAAUAAGCAUCGGCUAACUUCGUG
This 490-nucleotide ribosomal RNA is filed under the name uncultured bacterium. RNAcentral's name for it is "partial 16S ribosomal RNA". It matches the Rfam family "Bacterial small subunit ribosomal RNA", at positions 28 to 507 of the family's 1533-position model. The record is from RNAcentral.